UACGUAGGGGGCUAGCGUUGUCCGGAUUUAUUGGGCGUAAAGAGCGCGUAGGCGGCCAGGUAGGUCUGCUGUGAAAACUCGAGGCUCAACCUCGAGACGUCGGCGGAAACCAUCUGGCUAGAGUCCGGAAGAGGAGAGUGGAAUUCCUGGUGUAGCGGUGAAAUGCGCAGAUAUCAGGAAGAACACCCGUGGCGAAGGCGGUUCUCCGGGACGGUACUGACGCUGAGACGCGAAAGCGUGGGGAGCGAACAGG
Molecule: ribosomal RNA, 253 nt
Filed under: uncultured bacterium
Lineage: Bacteria
Description: partial 16S ribosomal RNA
Rfam family: Bacterial small subunit ribosomal RNA
Source: RNAcentral